CUCUUGAAUCCAUCAUCAGUGCUCUUAUUCACUAGUAAUAAAGGCUAUGUUGUAUGUUCUUUUUGUUAUAUGUCUUCUAUUAUAUGUUUAAAUAUAUAGACCUAGAACUAGGUGGGUUUUUAGAAAAUCUUUUAAUGAUAGAAUGUAGAAAUUAUCCUUAAGCCUAGUAAGCCUAGUACAUACAUUGCUGAUUUGCUAGUGCAGUUUUUAGGCACUUUAAUCUCUAUGACAGUGUAUCUGCAAUCACCACUUCACUUUAAAAAUUGAAUCCUAUUACUGGUCUUGAUUUUUAAUUAUUAUUGACCAUUAGAUGGUG
RNAcentral lists this long non-coding RNA (316 nucleotides) under Bos taurus (domestic cattle). RNAcentral describes it as "long non-coding RNA NONBTAT025391". The record is from RNAcentral. Lineage: Eukaryota; Metazoa; Chordata; Mammalia; Artiodactyla; Bovidae.